This 1336-nucleotide ribosomal RNA is filed under the name uncultured bacterium. RNAcentral's name for it is "bacterial SSU rRNA". It matches the Rfam family "Bacterial small subunit ribosomal RNA", at positions 28 to 1381 of the family's 1533-position model. The record is from RNAcentral.
GACGAACGCUGGCGGCGUGCUUAACACAUGCAAGUCGAACGGAAAGGCCUCUUCGGAGGUACUCGAGUGGCGAACGGGUGAGUAACACGUGGGUGAUCUGCCCUGCACUCUGGGAUAAGCCUGGGAAACUGGGUCUAAUACCGGAUAGGACCAUGCUUUAGUGUGUGUGGUGGAAAGUUUUUUCGGUGUAGGAUGAGCCCGCGGCCUAUCAGCUUGUUGGUGGGGUAAUGGCCUACCAAGGCGGCGACGGGUAGCCGGACUGAGAGGUUGGUCGGCCACAUUGGGACUGAGAUACGGCCCAGACUCCUACGGGAGGCAGCAGUGGGGAAUAUUGCACAAUGGGCGCAAGCCUGAUGCAGCGACGCCGCGUGGGGGAUGACGGCCUUCGGGUUGUAAACUCCUUUCGCCAGGGACGAAGCGUUUUGUGACGGUACCUGGAGAAGAAGCACCGGCUAACUACGUGCCAGCAGCCGCGGUAAUACGUAUGGUGCAAGCGUUGUCCGGAAUUACUGGGCGUAAAGAGAGCGCAGGCGGUCUGUUUAGUCUAAUGUGAAAGCCCACGGCUUAACCGUGGAACGGCAUUGGAAACUGACAGACUUGAAUGUAGAAGAGGAAAAUGGAAUUCCAAGUGUAGCGGUGGAAUGCGUAGAUAUUUGGAGGAACACCAGUGGCGAAGGCGAUUUUCUGGUCUAACAUUGACGCUGAGGCUCGAAAGCGUGGGGAGCGAACAGGAUUAGAUACCCUGGUAGUCCACGCCGUAAACGAUGAGUGCUAAGUGUUGGGGGCUUUCCGGCCCUCGGUGCUGGAGCUAACGUAUUAAGCACUCCGCCUGGGGAUUACGACCGCAAGGUUGAAACUCAAAAGAAUUGACGGGGACCCGCACAAGCGGUGGAGCAUGUGGUUUAAUUCGAAGCAACGCGAAGAACCUUACCAGCUCUUGACAUCUUCUGACAACUCUAGAGAUAGAGCGUUCCCUUCGGGGACAGAAUGACAGGUGGUGCAUGGUUGUCGUCAGCUCGUGUCGUGAGAUGUUGGGUUAAGUCCCGUAACGAGCGCAACCCUUGUUGUUAGUUGCCAGCAUUAAGUUGGGCACUUUAACGAGACUGCCGGUGAUAAACCGGAGGAAGGCGGGGAUGACGUCAAAUCAUCAUGCCCCUUAUGAGCUGGGCUACACACGUGCUACAAUGGAUGGUACAACGAGCAGCGAUCCCGCAAGGGCUAGCUAAUCUUUCAAAGCCAUUCUCAGUUCGGAUUGCACUCUGCAACUCGAGUGCAUGAAGUCGGAAUCGCUAGUAAUCGCGAAUCAGAAUGUCGCGGUGAAUCCGUUCCCGGGUCU